GGAAGGUUAAACUGGCCUUUUCCACAAAUCUAUUAAAAUUGAACGAUUUACACACGCGUAUCCAAGGGAGAUUCAAAAUUCAAAAAUAAGAUCCACAAUAACCUCAAUAUCCAUUCACGUAUCCGAAGAGCAAAUCCCAAAUCCGUUCCAUCGAUGGCGAAGACAAAGGGAAAUCGGAGGUGAUGAAGGUCUCAACAUUAGGGUUAGGGUUCCGCCAUAUCAGCGACGGUUUGAGAUGUCGCCUUACGAAGGGUAAUGGUUGUGAGCUCCUGAAAUGAAUCGACAUCUACAUGUCUCAGAUCUGGUCAGAUCAUCAAUCUCUAAGACCAAUCCGACGAUUAGGUAUGUUUCACUUGCUCCGGUUGUUUUCAGUUUGUUAUGAUUUCGGUGAUCUGGAACAUUGUUUUUGUUCUAUUAAUGUUUGUAUAUAGAUAUAUUUUUGUACAUUAGAAUGAGGAUAUAAUGUUGUGAUACGUACACCAACAGGUGAUAUGUCACAAGUGGGCAGAAGUUCUAUUUGCAGAUGCUUUUUCAUCAUUUUUGAGGAUGCUGGGUUAAAUGCUGAUAAGAUUUUUAUCGAAUUAUGAGGGCAUGAACCCUGUCAUGAGCCCCUGUUGAAGCACAGUGGCUUUUUACAGACAACUACAUGAACAUCCAGUGGAAUACUACACAUAUAUAGUGGUAGCUUAGCGAUAGGAGGUUCAAACAUAGUGGAAGUUACACAACAAUAAGUAACCCAGAAGGGGGUAUACUAAAAUAUGAAUUGGAUGACAAAAUUGUGAUACGAUGCCGCAUUUGUUUAUGUGUAGCUGCCAACUUAAACUUAUUUAAUUUAUAUCUAACGUUAAUCAUGUGUACGUAGUUUUCUGUGAAAUUAUCUUAGUAUUGCACUCGUUGGACCAAGAUGCGCUAAAGGGGCUAACACCAUCAAUCAAACUGAGAGCAAAAGCAUCUAAAUUUGCCAAAGCAACAAUGAAGGCACUAAUGCAUCAUUCAAGAGAUUUGGAGUAUGGGCUGACUGGGACAACCUUUAUCUCACUCUUGAUCAGAGGCUACUCAGAUUGGAGUGUUCGAGCAAAUGGUUUAUAAAGGGUGAGAAAACCAGUUCACUAGAGUCUUUCAUCCUGCACUAGGUUAGGUGCAUCUGCUUGUAUGGAGUGGUGACUAUCCGUGCUAAAAAAGGUUUGACAUGUGGGGUAUACGGAGAAUUUUGGCCUAUUUACUUAAGAACUGGUCGAUUCAGGUCAUGUUUGUUCUCUUAAGAGUUGUAUGAAGAAAACAACUAAAAACGAAACAUGUUAAACGGGUCGGAUUUUGUCCAAGUGUACAUUCUUUUCCAUAUGUUAAAGAGAAUGAAAGUUUUUUGAUUUUGUUGACAGGUUUGUGAAGAAGGAAUUAGCUGCAAAAUAAAGUCAUAAUUCUUUAUUUGGAGACCCAUCCCUCAACACUGUAAAAACCUUGAGGUAUUGGCCAUUGGGUAUUCAAUCCAUAAGAAAUAUGAGACCAAGAAACAAAGAUAUGUUGCAGUCUUUGAUGGUCCAAAAUUUCCACUUUGGUGUCAUGUAUUCUUUGAUCAAGUAUUGGGUAGCGUCUAGCGAUAACACUGGGUAUGU
Long non-coding RNA from Helianthus annuus (common sunflower), 1613 nucleotides. RefSeq lists it as uncharacterized. The record is from RefSeq and is a predicted model, not a curated record. NCBI's taxonomy places the organism in Eukaryota, Viridiplantae, Streptophyta, Magnoliopsida, Asterales, Asteraceae. The transcript has 7 exons.